UGUUUUUACUUUGGUUUAGAAGACAACCCAGCUAAGAGAAAGAGUUUUUUAGUGACUUGAAGAGUGAGGAGUGAACCACCUAUCACCAUGCUACUGCAAUACUUCAUGACACUUUCUUUAGCAUCAAGAAAUUUAUCUCAACAUGUGGAGUAAUGCUGUUGGUUUCUGUGAAUUCCGUUUUUACGGUUUUGUCAUCAUGAACGUUUCAGUGUGUUUCUUAGACAACUUUCUUUGUGGAAUCGUGCUGUCCUGGCACGGAAAUUCUUGAGCCAACGCUGGCUUUUGUCCAUGACCAACGUUCUGCUCCAUCCUUAUCUUGCCGACGUAAGCUAAUCCAGCUUCUGCUUCAUCGCUUCGUACACAAAAAUACAACUUGUCUUACUUCACUGACGAGUUGGAACACUUCAGUGGUCGCUUCCGUGCCGUGUUACACACCUGCAGUCAUUCACCACGGGAUUAUGCCCAGGUACCCGACAAUUUACUUAUUUUCGUAGAUUAUCUAUUCUAAUAGUAUACUUACUUGUGUCUGUAAUAAUUCCGAAAUCAGGCCCUACUUGCGCGCAAACGUAGUUUUACUUAGACGU
Molecule: long non-coding RNA, 584 nt
Organism: Daphnia pulex (common water flea)
Lineage: Eukaryota; Metazoa; Arthropoda; Branchiopoda; Diplostraca; Daphniidae
Exons: 3
Source: RefSeq, a predicted model, not a curated record